RNAcentral lists this ribosomal RNA (253 nucleotides) under uncultured bacterium. RNAcentral describes it as "partial 16S ribosomal RNA". It matches the Rfam family "Bacterial small subunit ribosomal RNA", at positions 524 to 776 of the family's 1533-position model. The record is from RNAcentral.
UACGUAGGGUGCGAGCGUUAAUCGGAAUUACUGGGCGUAAAGCGUGCGCAGGCGGUUCGUUGUGUCGGCGGUGAAAGCCCCGGGCUCAACCUGGGAAUGGACCGUUGAAACUGGCGAACUGGAGUGUGGCAGAGGGGGUGGAAUUCCGCGUGUAGCAGUGAAAUGCGUAGAGAUGCGGAGGAACACCGAUGGCGAAGGCAGCCCCCUGGGCUGACACUGACGCUCAGGCACGAAAGCCAGGGGAGCGAACGGG